This 429-nucleotide long non-coding RNA is filed under the name Nicotiana benthamiana. RNAcentral describes it as "long non-coding RNA (NBEN_LNC002214)". Lineage: Eukaryota; Viridiplantae; Streptophyta; Magnoliopsida; Solanales; Solanaceae. The record is from RNAcentral.
UUCCCAAUUACUGUGUUGAUCAAAGACCCCAACCAGGACUUAUUCUUGAGGAGAAAGGCAAAGAAGAAAAUUGGUUACAGUGAUGAUACUUGAUGGACAAUAUUCUGUGAAACUGCCAUUCCAUACAAGAACUAUGAUUUACAUUUGUUUCCCAUUCAUGGCAAUGUCAUAAACCGAAUCAAAGAGGAUACCUUAAGAUGUUUAAAGAUAAAAAAACAAAAACAGAACAUUCCAAACAGCCUUUGGAAAUCUUAUCUGGUAAAACUCAAUCGAACUUAACAUAUAUGAGUGCCACACACAACAAGCAACAGGAAUAUCUUAACACUGAUGUCAAAUCUCAGUUCAUUUAGAAUCCCUGAACUAUACUUUCUAUAGAAACUGUAAUGCCAUUUUUAAUUACUCCUAAUGCUGAACCAUAAGCAUGGAUAA